This 211-nucleotide long non-coding RNA is filed under the name Elaeis guineensis (African oil palm). Its description in RNAcentral is "long non-coding RNA (EGUI_LNC080599)". Lineage: Eukaryota; Viridiplantae; Streptophyta; Magnoliopsida; Arecales; Arecaceae. The record is from RNAcentral.
UCGGGUACCAUUGCUAGAUGGUCACUUCAAUUAGUACAGAAAUUGGUUCCUGUGCUACCGACUUAGGUUCGAACCUGCGGGGUCACACACAUUAGAGAUUCUUAUCUGAUCUGAUGGCUGAUGAAGAGUCUUAAUGCUCAUGGACUAUGAGUCCUACGUGUCUGAGACUCUGUGAUCGAGAAUCAGGAUUCUCUGAUCAUGAGUACCACAC